Long non-coding RNA from Ochotona curzoniae (black-lipped pika), 423 nucleotides. RefSeq lists it as uncharacterized. The record is from RefSeq and is a predicted model, not a curated record. The transcript is spliced from 2 exons. NCBI's taxonomy places the organism in Eukaryota, Metazoa, Chordata, Mammalia, Lagomorpha, Ochotonidae.
CGCCCGGGACCGCUCGGACCGCCCGGGACCGCCCGGGACCGCCCGGCCCGAGACGGCACCCCGCGCCCCGGAUUCGCCUCGGCUCGGCCGCGCGUUUAUUCCUUCUUCCUGCAUGAUCUCCAACGUUGAUAAAGUAGAAGAAACUGAGCUCUCAUGACAGAGAAAAGUAACUGGGACUGAGGAAAAAAAAAAAAAAAAGAGGUAGGGAUCUUGCUCCAUUAUCGAGGAUCUAACUUUUGACUGUGAUUUGCAAGUACCCCAGUGUUUACCUUCAGGUGGUCCCCAAGAUCAACUGGACGGCUGGCAAAGAAUCCCAGAGUGGUAGAGAGGUGAUUCGAAAGAGCUGUGGACAUAAAGUAGACUUUGCCUGCCAGUGGAGCCCUAGGAAGGAGGGCCAGUUGCUUAGUCCUCCCCUCUGGCCUA